GAUGAACGCUGGCGGCGUGCCUAAUACAUGCAAGUCGAGCGAACGGACGAGAAGCUUGCUUCUCUGAUGUUAGCGGCGGACGGGUGAGUAACACGUGGAUAACCUACCUAUAAGACUGGGAUAACUUCGGGAAACCGGAGCUAAUACCGGAUAAUAUUUUGAACCGCAUGGUUCAAAAGUGAAAGACGGUCUUGCUGUCACUUAUAGAUGGAUCCGCGCUGCAUUAGCUAGUUGGUAAGGUAACGGCUUACCAAGGCAACGAUGCAUAGCCGACCUGAGAGGGUGAUCGGCCACACUGGAACUGAGACACGGUCCAGACUCCUACGGGAGGCAGCAGUAGGGAAUCUCCCGCAAUGAGCGAAAGCCUGACGGAGCAACGCCGCGUGAGUGAUGAAGGUCUUCGGAUCGUAAAACUCUGUUAUUAGGGAAGAACAUAUGUGUAAGUAACUGUGCACAUCUUGACGGUACCUAAUCAGAAAGCCACGGCUAACUACGUG
RNAcentral lists this ribosomal RNA (497 nucleotides) under uncultured bacterium. RNAcentral's name for it is "partial 16S ribosomal RNA". It matches the Rfam family "Bacterial small subunit ribosomal RNA", at positions 28 to 507 of the family's 1533-position model. The record is from RNAcentral.